AUUGGAGGGCAAGUCUGGUGCCAGCAGCCGCGGUAAUUCCAGCUCCAAUAGCGUAUAUUAAAGUUGUUGCGGUUAAAAAGCUCGUAGUUGAAUCUGUGUGCCACGCUGUCGGUUCAUCGCUCGCGAUGUUUAACUGGCAUGAUUGUGGGACGUCCUACCGGUGGGCUUAGCUGUGCGCAAGCGCAGCGGUCCAACUAAUAUCCCAUCGCGGUGCUCUUCAUUGAGUGUCGAGGUGGGCCGGUACGUUUACUUUGAACAAAUUAGAGUGCUUAAAGCAGGCUUAUUUUGCCUGAAUAUUGUGUGCAUGGAAUAAUGGAAUAGGACCUCGGUUCUAUUUUGUUGGUUUUCGGAAUACCGAGGUAAUGAUUAAUAGGGACAGAUGGGGGCAUUCGUAUUGCGACGUUAGAGGUGAAAUUCUUGGAUCGUCGCAAGACGGACAGAAGCGAAAGCAUUUGCCAAAAAUGUUUUCAUUAAUCAAGAACGAAAGUUAGAGGUUCGAAGGCGAUCAGAUACCGCCCUAGUUCUAACCAUAAACGAUGCCAGCUAGCGAUCCGCCGAAGUUCCUCCGAUGACUCGGCGGGCAGCUUCCGGG
This 592-nucleotide ribosomal RNA is filed under the name Eubazus (Calyptus) sp. 2 BJS-2011. Its description in RNAcentral is "SSU rRNA". It matches the Rfam family "Eukaryotic small subunit ribosomal RNA", at positions 547 to 1094 of the family's 1831-position model. The record is from RNAcentral. Lineage: Eukaryota; Metazoa; Arthropoda; Insecta; Hymenoptera; Braconidae.